UCCCUGAUGGUCCAGUGGCUAAGACUCUGCACUCCCAACGCAGGAGCCCAGGUUCUAUCCCUGGUCAGAGAA
This is a non-coding RNA of Bos taurus (domestic cattle), 72 nucleotides long. NCBI's taxonomy places the organism in Eukaryota, Metazoa, Chordata, Mammalia, Artiodactyla, Bovidae. The record is from Rfam.